UAGGAAUCUUGGGAAUGGGCGAAAGCCUGACCCAGCAACGCCGCGUGGGCGAUGAAGGCCUUCGGCUCGUAAACCCCUGUUGCCCGGGGCGAACAGCGUCUUUCGAGGCGCCUGACGGUACCGGGUGAGGAAGCACCAGCUAACUCCGUGCCAGCAGCCGCGGUAAUCCGGAGGGUGCGAGCGUUGUCCGGAAUCACUGGGCGUAAAGGGCGCGUAGGUGGCCCGUCAAGCGCGCGGUGAAAGCCCGGGGCUCAACCCCGGGUCGGCCGUGCGGACUGGCGGGCUCGAGCACUGUAGGGGCGGGUGGAAUUCCGGGUGUAGCGGUGGAAUGCGUAGAGAUCCGGAAGAACACCGGUGGCGAAGGCGGCCCGCUGGGCAGGAAGGCUCGCAAGAGCCGGCUGACACUGAGGCGCGACAGCGUGGGGAGCAAAC
This 432-nucleotide ribosomal RNA is filed under the name uncultured bacterium. RNAcentral describes it as "bacterial SSU rRNA". It matches the Rfam family "Bacterial small subunit ribosomal RNA", at positions 356 to 773 of the family's 1533-position model. The record is from RNAcentral.